UGAGUGGCGGACGGGUGAGUGACGCGUGAGCAACCUGCCCUUCGGAACGGGAUAGUGUCUGGAAACGGACAGUAAUACCGUAUAACAUAUAUUGAUCGCAUGGUCGAUGUAUCAAAACUGAGGUGCCGAAGGAUGGGCUCGCGUCUGAUUAGAUAGUUGGUGGGGUAACGGCCUACCAAGUCGACGAUCAGUAGCCGGACUGAGAGGUUGAACGGCCACAUUGGGACUGAGACACGGCCCAGACUCCUACGGGAGGCAGCAGUGGGGAAUAUUGCACAAUGGGGGAAACCCUGAUGCAGCAACGCCGCGUGAAGGAAGACGGUUUUCGGAUUGUAAACUUCUGUUCUUAGUGAAGAAUAAUGACGGUAGCUAAGGAGCAAGCCACGGCUAACUACGUGCCAGCAGCCGCGGUAAUACGUAGGUGGCAAGCGUUGUCCGGAAUUACUGGGUGUAAAGGGAGCGUAGGCGGGAUGCCAAGUCAGCUGUGAAAACUAUGG
RNAcentral lists this ribosomal RNA (497 nucleotides) under uncultured bacterium. RNAcentral's name for it is "bacterial SSU rRNA". It matches the Rfam family "Bacterial small subunit ribosomal RNA", at positions 92 to 606 of the family's 1533-position model. The record is from RNAcentral.